AUCUUCUUCUAGUACAUUGAUUGCUCAAUUGUCCUUUCCAUAUUAGCUUCUGUGGUGCCAAACAGUUGGUCUCUCUUUUUUUUAAUGAGUAGCCAAACAUUGAGUGAGGGAAAGGAAAAAAGAAAAAGAAUACAAGAGCAUGCAAAAUAGAGCUACAAAGGACGGAGGCAUACUAAUGAAAAUGUCUCCAAUCAAAACAUGGCUUGAAGGGUAAUGCCAAAAAAUGUAAUUUUUUGUGUAUUUCAUAAAGAGAGAAGAAUUUUCUUAAAUAGAAGAACAACCCAUUACAAAUAAUGAAAAGAUAAUUUUGGUAAAUAUAAUGCAACUAAUACAAUAAAAUAUAAUACAAAAGAGGAAUUAAUCAACAGGUAAUUUAAAAGGACCCCAACAUCGAAGCUUUUAGAGAUAUCUAACAAAGGGCCAAACAUCAUUUAAUAACCUUUCAAGCCCUUUAGAAUAGCACACACCCAACUUGCCACAACGAUCUUUCCUUCUCACAAAAAGGAGGGUAGGGAAUGAAACUCCUCUUGCGUCUUCUUGCAACGCCCAUGUCCUCAAACAUUAUGAGAAAAAUGAUACAUCCCAAAUUAUGACUAUCAAGCAUUAGCAUAGACACGUUAGGAUAUAUAUAUAUAUAUAUAUAUAUGUGUGUGUUUUACAUAAUUAUGCUAAAUGUAAUCCACCAAAAAGCAUAAAAUAUCAAGAAUAGUAGGGUGAGCGAAAUAAUCUUAACGAAAGUGGUUGUUUCUUAAAAACAAUGGAAGGGCCUGUAACCACCCCUCCCCCAUGAAAUCCAUUCAAAAUGGAGUGAUCCAUAUUAUCACCUUAUGUCAUAAGAAGAGACUCAUGUUGAAAAUGCUAUUAGGAUUGUUCUUUUUUUUUUUUUUUUUUUUUUCGACACAAAACAUUUCAUUGAUGAAUGGAAUAAUCCAAAGAGUACAUAAAGGUGAAAUCCCCAAAAAGUUACGGAGGAAACUAUACUUGAGCAAAAGAUUAAUCCUUAAAAAAAUGUAGCAAAAAAAUAAAAUACAAUCAAAAUGGACAAGAACAAAGCAUUGGGAGAUUCAAGAUGCCAAAGCUCCAAAGUAUCAACACAAAAGAGAGGUUGCCAAAAAAACAAGUCGGCCAACCCUGACCAAAUGUGAAAGGAUUGUUAGCACUACAUAGGAUUAUAACAUGAUGAUGUAAUAAGAUAGCAGUUAGACUAUUAAUAGUUUAAACUAAUCAGCUGUAAACUGAUUAGUUAUCCAUAAUUCAUCAAUAAAUAUCCCUUCUCUAGCCACAAAAAGGCAGAGAAUUCAUUUGAGGAAAUUACCCAACUUUGAAUUACACCAAAGUGGUAUCAGAGUAGCCUUGGUCGUGGGAACUGAAUGGCUUGUCAGCGAGGAGCUAUCCUAGCUGCGGGGGACAACCGUGAGCAAGAAGAAGCAGAAGAGAUCACCAUUCUCUCUCCAAGGACAACAAUAGUACGCUUGCUGGCAGUUGAAGACUCCUUGGGAGAUUUGCACGAUAAGUUCGAUAGGAUGAUGCAAUUAACUAAAGGAACAAUGAAACAAAGGAGGCCAGCAAGCAUGAAGGAACCAUAGAAACUUGCCCAAUCAAAGAAAUGACCGAAGAAGGAGGCCUAAUGAAGUUCCACUGUGAUACGCCGACAACGAUACUCAAGAAGACUAUGAAGCUUGGCAGAAUAGGCAAGAAGACGAUUCCUCAACGACGAUGAGCAAGGAAACAUCUGGAAUAACAAUGAUGAUUUUCAAAUGGGACAAGCUUACAAAAGGCAAGAAGCACGAAGAGAAGUUCAUCAUGAUUACAGGAUGAAAAUUGAUCUCUCAAUCUACAAUGCUGCGAGGAGGAGCUUCGACGUGGUGGGACCAGUUGGAAAUUAAUAGACAAAGGUGUGGCAAGCCAGCCAUUCGUUCGUGGGAGAAGAUGAAGAAGCUUUUAAAGGCACGUUUCUUACCUCCAAACUUCGAGCAAACAUUAUACAACCAAUAUCAAAUUGCCGCCAAGGAAGUCGAUCAGUAGCUGAGUACAUUGAAGAAUUUCAUAGAUUGAGCGCAAGAACCAAUCUGAGUGAGAAUGAACAGCACCAAAUAGCAAGGUUUAUUGGUGGUCUUCGAUUUGAUAUAAAGGAGAAGGUAAAACUACAACCAUUUUGUUUCUUGUAUGAAGCCAUCUCCCUUGCAGAAUAGUGGAAGAAAUGAUGGCUGCACGAAUAAAGAGCUCAAACAGAAAGACUACAUGGGAAGCAAACUCCACCAAGAAACAAACUUACAGUAGUAGAAUGAAUGAACAACCAUCAACGUCAGUUGCAAAGAAGAGUAAAGAUGUUGAUACUCAUGAUGCAGCCAAGAAAAAGGAUAAUACAAGCAAAAGGAAGAGCCAGAAUACCUACACUCACCCAUCUUUGGGAAAGUGUUUUCGAUGUGGCCAAUCUAGCCACUUAUCCAACAACUGUCCUCAAAGGAAGACUAUAGCACUAAUUGAUGAAGAGAGCAAUUCUAUAAGUGAAGAUGAUAAAAAAGAAGAAGAGGAAGCAGAAUUCAUAGAAGUCGAUGAUGGUGAUCGAAUUUCUUGUGUUAUACAAAGAGUCCUCAUUGCUCCUAAAGAAGAAACAAAUCCUCAAUGCUACAGCCUAUUCUAGACGAGAUGUACUAUCAAUAGAAGAGUUUGUGAUGUAAUAAUUGAUAGCGGAAGCAGUGAGAACUUCGUGCCAAGGAAGCUUGUAACCAUCCUAAAUUUGAAAACCGAUCCUCACCCAAAUCCAUAUAAGAUAGGAUGGGUAAGGAAAGGAGGAGAGGCUUCAAUCAAUGAGAUCUGCACAGUUCUCCUCUCCAUUGAAAAUGGUUAUAAAGAUCAGAUUGUGUGUGAUGUAAUUGAAAUGGAUGUAUGCCAUUUACUAUUAGGAAGGCCAUGGCAUCAUGACACUCGAACCCUACAUAGGGGGAGAGAAAAUACGUACGAAUUCCAAUGGAUGGGAAAGAAAGUAAUCCUAAUCCCAUUGACAAAGAAAAAUACAGAAGGCAUGAGGCAGCAAAAGAAUAAAGGGCAGCUUUUCAUCACUAUAAGUGGGAAGAAAUUAUUGAGAGAAAGGGAGCAAGACCUUUUGGGACUAGUAGUUGCAGAUAAAUCCGAAGAGAAGGAACAUGAAAUCAUAGGGCCGAAGCUUAAGAGGUUAUUUGCAGAAUUCCCACAUUUGAAGGAGCCACAACGACUGCCUCCACUCAAUGACAUUCAGCACCAAAUUGACCGUAUCCCAAGAGUAUCAUUGCCUAAUCUAGCUCAUUAUAGGAUGAGUCCAGAAGAAUAUUAAGUCUUGCACGAUCAUAUCGAAGACUUACUAAAGAAAGGUCACAUCAAGCCGAGCCUAAGUCCAUGUGUUGUACCUGCAUUGCUCACACCUAAGAAGGAUGGAAGUUGGAGAAUGUGCGUGGACAGCAAGGCUAUUAAUCGAAUUACCAUGAAAUAUCGGUUUCCUAUUCCUCGGAUUGGAGACCUUUUGGACCAGCUAGGCAAGGCUACUAUCUUCUCAAAAAUUGACCUAAAAAGUGGUUAUCAUCAACAAAGGAUCAGACCAAGAAAUGAAUGGAAGACAGCCUUCAAGACAAAUGAAGAAUUGUUUUGAGUGGUUGGUAAUUCCUUUCGGCUUUCCAAUGCACCAAAUACUUUUAUGAGAUGGAUGAACCAAGUGCUACAUCGCUUUUUAAAUCGAUUUAUAGUGGUUUACUUUGAUGAUAUUCUCGUAUACAGCAACAACAAUGAAGAAGAUAUUCAGCACUUAAGAAAACUAUUUCAAGUCUUGACAGAAACAGAGAUGUAUAUUAAUCCAAAGAAGUGCACAUGCCUGCCCAAGGAGAUUGUCUUUCUUGGGUUCUUGAUUAAAGAAGGGAAGAUAGACAUGGAACCUAAAAAGGUAGAAGCCAUACACACUUGGCCAGCACCAACAUCCAUUAAGGAAGUUCAAGCUUUUCUUGUCUUGGCCUCUUUUUACAGAAAAUUCAUGAGAAACUUCAGCUCGAUAGUGGCCCUUUAACUGAUUGUUUAAAGAAAAGGAAACUUCAAAUGGGAUCAAGUACAACAAGAGAGUUUUGAAGAUAUAAAAAGAAGGCUAACUUCAGUCCUAUCCUACAAUUGCCAGAUUUCGCAUCACCAUUUGAAGUAGCUAUAUUAUCCCAACAAGGCCACCUAAUUGAGUAUUUCAGUGAGAAGCUGAGUUCAUCAAGGCAGUGUCGAAGCACAUAUGAACAAGAGCUUUAUGCCCUUGUUCGAGCACUCAAACAGUGGGAAGACUACCUUCUAUGUAAAGAAUUUGUACUCCUAACCAAUCACUUCUCUUUAAAGUAUCUCCAAUCACGAAAGAACAUCAGUCGAAUGCAUGCACGAUGGAUCUUCCUACAGAGAUUUGAUUUUGUCAUCAAGCAUCAAAGUGGAAAAAGAAUAAAAUGGCAGAUGCCCUAUCCAGAAAGAGUUCCUUACUCGCUCUCCUAUCCUUGGAAAUUGAAGCAUUCAAACACCUCUUUGACUUAUAUGAAGAAGAUGUUGAUUUUUUUUAGAUAUAGUUUAAAUGCAGCAACUAUAUCAAGGCCGAAGACUUUCAUAUAAUGGAAGGUUUCUUGUUCAAAGGAGAUCAAUUGUGUAUCCCACACACAUUACUAUGAGAAACUCUAUUAAAAGAAGCUCAUUCUGGAGGAAUGGCUGGAGACUUCAGGCAAGAUAAGACUUUUGAAAUAAUUUCCAAAAGGUACUAUUGGCCUCAACUAAAAAGAGACUCCAACAACUUUGUUAAGAGAUGCCCUAAUUGUCAAAGAGCUAAAGGCUCAAGUACGAAUGCAGGCCUAUACUCACCACUACCCAUCCCAACUUCCAUUUGGGAAGAUUUGUCCAUUGACUUCAUGCUUGGACUGCCCAAAACUCAAAGACAAUAUGAUUCAGUCAUGGUCGUGGUAGACAGAUUUAGCAAGAUGACACUUUGUAGCCUGUAAAAAGACAAAUGAUGUCAUCUACAUAACUAAUUUCUUCUUUAGAGAGAUAGUUCGACUACAUGGAGUAUCCAAAACCAUUGUUUCUAAUCGGGAUGUCAAAUUCUUAAGCCACUUUUGGAGGACCUUAUGGAAGAAGCUUGACACAACCUUAAAAUACAGCACAAUACCACAUCUCCAAACAGAUGGCCAAACAGAAGUCACAAACAGAACACUAGGCAACUUGAUACGUUGUCUUAGUGGAUCUGAACCAAAACAAUGAGAUCUAGCUCUUGCUCAAGCAGAAUUUGCUUUCAAUAACAUGAAAAACAAUCCUAUUGACAAAUGUCCAUUUAAGGUUGUAUAUACUAGGCAACCACAGCUUACUUUUGAUAGCGUCACUCCUUACAACAGUAGACACCAAUACACCAAUACAGAAGCAGAAAAAAUGAUAGAGAAAAUUGGAUGUCUACAUAAAGAAGUCCACGAUCACUUGAAAGAAACAACUCAAUCCUACAAAAAGACAGCAGACAAGAAGAGGAGACAAGCUGCCUUUGCUGAAGGAGAUUUAGUAAUGAUUCAUCUCAGAAAAAAUCGAUUUCCAGCCCGAAUAUACAGCAAACUCAAGGAUAGACAAUUUGGCCCAUUCCGAGUCCUCAAGAAGUUUGGAGAUAACACCUACAAAAUAGAACUACCAACUAACUUGCAUAUUCAUUGAGUAUUCAAUGUGGCUGACCUAAAGCAUUACUAUGCACCGGAUGAUUUCAAACUAGCCAGCUGAUUCACUCGGGUCGUGUUGUCUUAGGAGGAUGGAUGAUGUAAUAAGAUAGCAGUUAGACUGUUAAUAGUUUAAACUAAUCAGCUGUAAACUGAUUAGUUAUCCUAACCCCCAACUACCUAACCAUUUGUAACAAACUCUCAUAUAACUGAUUCUAACUACCCAUCAUAAUUCAUCAAUAAAUACCCAUUCUCUAGCCACAUAAAGGCAGAGAAUUCAUUUGAGGAAA
This is a long non-coding RNA of Cucumis melo (muskmelon), 5965 nucleotides long. RefSeq lists it as uncharacterized. NCBI's taxonomy places the organism in Eukaryota, Viridiplantae, Streptophyta, Magnoliopsida, Cucurbitales, Cucurbitaceae. The transcript has 2 exons. The record is from RefSeq and is a predicted model, not a curated record.